Mastomys coucha (southern multimammate mouse) is the source of this 1950-nucleotide long non-coding RNA. RefSeq lists it as uncharacterized. The record is from RefSeq and is a predicted model, not a curated record. The transcript is spliced from 3 exons. Lineage: Eukaryota; Metazoa; Chordata; Mammalia; Rodentia; Muridae.
UACGGGUCUGUAUGGAUACAGAAAGUCCCUCAAAGACCAGCUAGAAAUGCCUCUUUUGUAUACUGCUGUUUUCACGGGAAGCAGAGACGCCUGGCCUCACUUUCAUCUUGCCGCUGGUGCCCGCAGAUUCUAAGCUGAGUAAGUUGCAUCCCUGAGAAGAGCUGGGUGCGGCAGGUCUAGAAUCCCAGAAGUCAGAAGGCUGAAGCAGGAAGAUUGCUCCAAAUUCAUAGCCAGCCAGAAGGAAAACACUUUUGAAAAAAGUUCACCAGGGCCCUUGGCUUGUUCCCAGAAUACUGUCACACCGAAGAGUCUGAGAAAUCAACCCUUGAAACCACUAUGCCCCUGGGGAAGUCUAUCCGAUGGCCAGUCUCACUCUCAGGGCAGCUUCUCCCCAAGAAGAUACUGAGGUCGGUUUUUCUAUGGCCUCCUCCAUCCUUCUUGCUCCCACGUCUGGUCUGGUCUAGAUUGGGGGCAAAACCUUAGGUGUGAAGCAGAAAUUUAUGUUAAUAUGUAGAAGAAAAGUUAAGGCGAAUAACCUCUCAAGCAGCCAAUGGAAAAGUGGUCCAGCCCGUAUCUAAGCAAGUUUCUCAAGUACUUCCAGGUAUAUGCAUGGUAUGCCUAUGUAGGGGUGGGUGCCUGUGAACACCUGCACACAAGCAUCUGACUGACAUCCGGGCUCUCUUCCUUGAUCAUUUUCUGUCAGGUCUCAGAAACCCAGGGCAAAUGGCUAAAUUGAGGUGCCUAUCAACACCUCAAAGUGCAUGCUGGCCAGCUCUCCUGGCAUCCCUCAGUAUCUGUGGCUCCCCCAAGACUUCCCACUCCACCUGCUACUGUAAACCUCCCUCUUCCAGGGGCUGUGUUUCCAUUUCCCUACCUGGAGCCCAAUCCCUAUAUAACUCAGCUAUUUUGGCUACAUUUGUCUCUGGCUUCUUGGCCUGGGUCUCCCUCCCUCACUCUCCUCUCUCUCAUGGUCUGGUUUGAUCUACCAGCCAUGUUCAGCCUGGACUCUUCUGCCUGCUUUUUCUCUUACGUCUACAAUAAGAAUCUUCUCCACACUCUAGGAGUAGACAUGUACCCCUUGUGCAUCUUAUUUCCUGCAUUGUCUGCCUUACAUAUUGAGUCAGGGUCUCUCAACUGAACCCCAGAGCUCACCAAGAUGAUGCAGCUAGCCAGAUUAUUCAAGGGAUCACAUCUCCACCUUCUGAGAGCUGGAAUUACUAAAGGCUACCUUGUCGGCCUGGCUUUUAAGUGGGUGCCGGGGCUCUAAACUCUGAGGCCCUCACUAUUGCAAUGAAGGCUCUAUAUCUCUUGAAUCAUUUCCUUCCCAAGCCCCUGUGUAAUUUCUUUUUAAAAGAUAGGGUUACACUAUGUAGCUCUGACUGUCCUAGAACUCACAGAGAUCCAUCUGCCUCUGCCUCCCAAGUGUUGGAAUUAAUGGCUGCUCCAUCACACCCAGCCCUUGUAUAACCUUUAAGAGUCCCGAUUAGAAUAUGAUCAGUCCUUCAUCUUUAGGAAAAAAACCAUCCUCCUAACACACCCUACAAACGAGGACAAGAGGAACUUUCUAGUUACUUUUAAUAAAUGGGAAGAAUUGAGAGUUGUCUGUGACCCUAGGGUGCCUCUCUACUCUGUCCAGGAUCUGGUACUUGGAUUUCCACCAAGAUUCUCCCCUCCCACACCAUCAGUGCCCAUUUAAAAAAAAACAACAACAAAAAAAACAAAACCAAAACCAAAUCAUUUAGCUUAUUUCCCAGCACAGGAAUAGGCAGACUUACAACCCACUGGCCAAAUCCCACCCACUGCCUAUUUUUAUAUGGCCCUAAAGCUAAGAAUGGAUUUUAGUUUCUUAAAUAGUUGAAGAAGUCAAAAUAAAAAUAACGUUUUAUGACGCAUGAAAGUGAUAUGAAAUUCAAAUUUCAGGGUUCAUAAAUAAAGUUUUACUGGAACAUA